Molecule: ribosomal RNA, 223 nt
Filed under: uncultured Pseudomonadales bacterium
Lineage: Bacteria; Pseudomonadati; Pseudomonadota; Gammaproteobacteria; Pseudomonadales
Description: partial 16S ribosomal RNA
Rfam family: Bacterial small subunit ribosomal RNA
Source: RNAcentral
AUAGCCUACGGAAGUACUGCACUGGUAGUGGGGGACAACGUUUCGAAAGGAACGCUAAUACCGCAUACGUCCUACGGGAGAAAGCAGGGGACCUUCGGGCCUUGCGCUAUCAGAUGAGCCUAGGUCGGAUUAGCUAGUUGGUGAGGUAAUGGCUAACCAAGGCGACGAUCCGUAACUGGUCUGAGAGGAUGAUCAGUCACACUGGAACUGAGACACGGUCCAG